Molecule: long non-coding RNA, 751 nt
Organism: Alosa alosa (allis shad)
Lineage: Eukaryota; Metazoa; Chordata; Actinopteri; Clupeiformes; Clupeidae
Exons: 4
Source: RefSeq, a predicted model, not a curated record
AAUACGUUUCAUACACAUGCAUUUCGGUCGUUGCUUUUACCUUACCAUUACCUUACGCAUGCCAGUUAUGUAUCCACUAGCUUGACCUUAGACACACCUACCCGCCCGCGAAGACGGAAGGACUCAGAAAGUCAAUGUAAGCGCAAAUUGGAGUCAGUUGGAGGACUGGAUAUCACCACUAGCCUACUACGGCUGAAACAAGUAGCCUAACCUUAAUGGUAACGAAAAGGCUGCGUGUACAAAACCGCAUGGAGCUUCAGUGGGAUUUUGAUUUCGCAAUGAGAAUUCUGUCUAACCAUUAAUGUGCCGAGUGUGGGCGCAUUCACACCAGACCGCUUGGUCCGGACCCGAGUUCGUUUGCACCGAUGGUUCGGUGGUUUUCGCUCAUGUUAAGCCUUUUGGUGGGCACGCACACACAUGCACACACACACACACACACACACAUAUACAUACUUGCAAGAAAGACACAUGAGAAUCAUACUGUCUGCUAACUUUCCAAUUAAGUUGUGUCAUGAUGUUUUUUUCCCAGAGUGCAAUGUGGCGUUCCAUAAGAAAUGCAUCAUCAUAAUCACCAGCAAAUGUACUGAGGCCAAAAGGGGCACAGUGAGUGACAAGCCGCAUAGUUUUAAGACUCACAACUACAAGAUUCCCACCUAUUGUGCCCACUGUGGAAGCCUUUUGGUGGGUUUAUGUCAACAAGGAUGCAGGUGUGAGCAUCUGACUUAAAUGCCAGUGUUAUGAUGGGUGGCAU